UGAAUACGAGACGCUAAGGCGUCGAAGUAGUGUAUGUCAUACUUCCAAGAAAAGCUUGCACUGUCAUAGAUAAAAAACGCCUGUACCAUAACCGACACAGGUGGGUAGGUAGAAUAUACUAAGGGGCGCGAGAUAACUCUCUCUAAGGAACUCGGCAAAAUAACUCCGUAACUUCGGGAGAAGGAGUGCCUUAUUAUUAAGGCUGCAAUAACAAGAUCCAAGCAACUGUUUAUCAAAAACACAGGCCUCCGCUAAGUCGUAAGACGAUGUAUGGGGGCUGACGCCUGCCCUGUGCCAGAAGGUUAAAGAAGUUGGUUAGCAUUUGCGAAGCUGAUAACUGAAGCCCUGGUGAACGGCGGCCGUAACUAUAACGGUCCUAAGGUAGCGAAAUUCCUUGUCGGGUAAGUUCCGACCCGCACGAAAGGCGUAAUGAUUUGGAUACUGUCUCGGAGAGGGGCUCGGUGAAAUAGACUUGUCUGUGAAGAUGCGGACUACCUGCACCAGGACAGAAAGACCCUAUGAAGCUUUACUGUAACUUGAAAUUGAAAUUGGACUUUAUUCGCGCAGCAUAGGUGGGAGGCGUUGAUUAUAAUCUUGUGGGAUUAUUGGAGCCAUCAGUGAGAUACCACUCUUGUAAUGUUAGAUUUCUAACUUUGAAUCAUUAUCUGGUCAAAGAACAGUUUCAGGCGGGCAGUUUGACUGGGGCGGUCGCCUCCUAAACGGUAACGGAGGCGUACAAAGGUUUCCUCUGAACGGUUAGAAAUCGUAUCUAGAGUGUAAAGGCAUAAGGAAGCUUGACUGUGAGACCUACAAGUCGAGCAGGGACGAAAGUCGGUCUUAGUGAUCUGACGGUACUGAGUGGAAAGGCCGUCACUCAACGGAUAAAAGUUACUCUAAGGAUAACAGGCUGAUCUCCCCCAAGAGUUCACAUCGACGGGGAGGUUUGGCACCUCGAUGUCGGCUCAUCGCAUCCUGGGGCGGUAGUACGUCCCAAGGGUUGGGCUGUUCGCCCAUGAAAGCGGUACGCGAGCUGGGUUCAGAACGUCGUGAGACAGUUCGGUCCAUAUCCGGUGUAGGCGUUAGAAUAUUGAGAGGAGCCUUCUUUAGUACGAGAGGACCGAGAAGGACAUACCUCUGGUGUACCAGUUAUCGUGCCAACGGUAAACGCUGGGUAGCUAUGUAUGGAGUGGAUAACCGCUGAAAGCAUCUAAGUGGGAAGCCCACCUCAAGAUAAGUAUUCUCAU
Molecule: ribosomal RNA, 1244 nt
Filed under: metagenome
Description: bacterial LSU rRNA
Rfam family: Bacterial large subunit ribosomal RNA
Source: RNAcentral